GGCGACGCCGCCGCGCCCUGCAAGCCGGGACUUGUAGUCCGCCUAGAAGAGGCGGGCAAACCCUCGGGGGCGGCCCAGCGACCCGCGCGCGUGCGCGACGUCUGAGGAAGCCGGCGGGGGAAGUUCAGUUUUGCUGGUCGCCGCUCUUGCCUCAGUUUUUCGCAGAGUAGGGGGUCUGCGCUGUGUUGCGCUGCGUGUGGAGUGAAUUCGGGGCCAUUUCUCCUGGGUUGGGGCGGUAGGUAACAGAGUAAUAUGAAGACGUGGGGCUUUUGUUUCCCUGCCGCUAUCUCCACGUUACCUACCCCUUUGGGGUGUUCUGGCGUUUGAGGAACUCACCGUUGGAGCUAGAGGCGCGCACCUCACUAAGGGGUUGUACUUCAUGAGAAAUUUAACCUAAUAUGCUGAAUUUCAACUUGGGAAGUCAGAAACCAAAAGCCUCUUCCCUGUAGACUGAGGAGAGACGUUCCCUGAAGAGAAACGGCCUGGCAAGAGGCAAUCUGUCGGGAAGCCUCAAAAUACUCGUUUACGAAGUCUCUGCUUGAACGCGAUGGGGGCAUCGUGCAGUUUCCCUUGAGGCAUAAUAACAGCUGCUUCCCUUUAAGGGGCCCCCACAUUGUCAGUGUCCUCCAGCCAGAGACCACCAAGAACACCCCUGUAGCUGAACAAAGUUGGGCGUCAGUCUCCUUGCAAGGGAGGAAGGCACACCUUGAGGAAGCGCGGGCCAUCUCAGGAAGAGGGUGCUGGAAAGAAUUUACAGGAUUUGGGCUGGUGUUAGGUGAUUUGGGGGAGGGUUCAAGGAAUCAGUCCUACUCUCUGCAUUGGAUGCUGUUAGUUGGAGAUGAGGAAAUUGUGUUUUCAUGGCAUUGAUUAGUCCAAAAUGAUACAGCCAGCAAAAACAGAGAACCUGGGGAUCCAAGUUCAGAGAAUCUGAUCCCGGUGGCUGCCACUUUACCACCUUCAAAAUCUGCAUCCCUAAGGAGGCUGCACUGCUUCCUCAGUAGUACUCAGCUGCUGAUACCUGUGCUUAGCUAAGUUUCUCACCAGCAGCGCUAUUGACAUUUUUGGUCAGGUAAUUUUUUGUUGUUGGGAGUUAUUCUGUGCAUUGUAGGGUGUUUAGUGGCAUCUCUGGCCUCUAUCCAUUAGAUGCUGGCGGCACCCUCCCCCUGUGACAACUAGUAAUGUCUCCAGACGUUACCAAAUCACCCCUGUUUGAGAGCCACUAGUGUAUACCAUUUAUCUCCUCCUGGGUCUCUCUCUGAGAGGUAACAAGUAUUUGGGGCAUGACAGUCCCCAAAUCACUUUGAGUGGGGAAGCCUUGAAAAGGAGAGAGGGAAACAGUUGUGGCCUAAGUUUUUGAAAAGCAUGUUAAACUAGGAAAACGAAGACUGAGACAAACAAAAGACAAGUGAAGUGGGGAAAAACAAAGGGAAAAAAAAAAAGUAAUAGAGGUGGAGAAGAGCUCGUAGGAAAUCACCCUUAAGUUACUCAGUUCACACUAACAAAGUUAGUUCACACUAACAAAGGCAUACAAAGCCUUUUUUUUUUUUUUACCAGAAACACUUUCUAGAACAUAUUUUUCUUAUUGAGAUCACAUUGGUUUAUAACAUAUAAAUUUCAGAUGCACAUCAUUAUAUUUCUACUUCUGUAUAGACUGCAUCAUGUUCACAACCAAAAGUCUAGUUGCUAUCUGUCUUUGUACACUGACACACAAAGUCUUAAUGAGGCCUCAUUUUACCUCCACUCCCUGUCUGAGAAGUGCUGAUAUGCGUAGCAAACAGUCUUGACCACUUUUGUAAAAAGAUUUGUUUUUUACAAAAUACACAGCUUGGUAUCAGCUGUGACCUCCCUGAACUGGCUACCUGCAAGAGACUUUCCUCAGAGAUUUCAGGCAUCCUCCAAGGUAGCAGUUUGUUUUCCACGGAAAUUCCAGGAUUCCAGGAGAGCUGGCAAAAGUCAAAAAGCAAUGGUAGCUAAGCUUUUCCAGGUUUUCCAAGAGAUAGGUCCUGCUUAAACUAAGCUAAUAAGAGCAUCAACACAAUUAAUCCCUUGUAUUUUUCUAACCUCUUUCAUCUAGAAAUCUCUGCAAAACAUCCAGACAUUUAUUAAUUUUCUUCUCAUAGUGAGGAAAAGCAUUGUGAUUUUCCUGUUUUAUAGAUCCAGAAGCCAAGUUAUGGAGUCUGCAAAAAAUAAUGAGAAAUGCAGAAACGGACUACUGGAAUCUUUACUCUGGGCCAUUCUUGAUGCUCAGUACCACCCCAGAUCUCCAGGUGCUCAAUAGUAAGCUAAUGAUGAUAAUCCUUCAAUUGUAUACUAAAUUUUAUGUUUUCAUAGGCUUUAAAAUAUUCCAUAGUCUCUUCACUUA
Molecule: long non-coding RNA, 2362 nt
Filed under: Equus caballus (horse)
Lineage: Eukaryota; Metazoa; Chordata; Mammalia; Perissodactyla; Equidae
Description: lncRNA (ENSECAG00000044277.1)
Source: RNAcentral